ACAUGUUCACAUGAUUAAAGGUAUUCCGGUAGACGAUGGGGAUGCGUUCCAUUAGAUAGUAGGCGGGGUAACGGCCCACCUAGUCUUCGAUGGAUAGGGGUUCUGAGAGGAAGGUCCCCCACAUUGGGAACUGAGACACGGUCCAAACUCCUACGGGAGGCAGCAGUGAGGAAUAUUGGUCAAUGGGCGAGAGCCUGAACCAGCCAAGUAGCGUGAAGGAUGACUGCCCUAUGGGUUGUAAACUUCUUUUAUAAAGGAAUAAAGUCGGGUAUGCAUACCCGUUUGCAUGUACUUUAUGAAUAAGGAUCGGCUAACUCCGUGCCAGCAGCCGCGGUAAUACGGAGGAUCCGAGCGUUAUCCGGAUUUAUUGGGUUUAAAGGGAGCGUAGAUGGAUGUUUAAGUCAGUUGUGAAAGUUUGCGGCUCAACCGUAAAAUUGCAGUUGAUACUGGAUAUCUUGAGUGCAGUUGAGGCAGGCGGAAUUCGUGGUGUAGCGGUGAAAUGCUUAGAUAUCACGAAGAACUCCGAUUGCGAAGGCAGCCUGCUAAGUUGCAACUGACAUUGAGGCUCGAAAGUGUGGGUAUCAAACAGGAUUAGAUACCCUGGUAGUCCACACGGUAAACGAUGAAUACUCGCUGUUUGCGAUAUACAGUCAUAGCGGUCCAAGUCGAAAGUCGUUUAAGUAUUCCACCUGUGUUGUA
RNAcentral lists this ribosomal RNA (699 nucleotides) under uncultured bacterium. RNAcentral describes it as "bacterial SSU rRNA". It matches the Rfam family "Bacterial small subunit ribosomal RNA", at positions 187 to 882 of the family's 1533-position model. The record is from RNAcentral.